RNAcentral lists this ribosomal RNA (250 nucleotides) under Staphylococcus delphini. RNAcentral describes it as "partial 16S ribosomal RNA". It matches the Rfam family "Bacterial small subunit ribosomal RNA", at positions 1129 to 1378 of the family's 1533-position model. The record is from RNAcentral. Lineage: Bacteria; Bacillati; Bacillota; Bacilli; Caryophanales; Staphylococcaceae.
AGUUGGGCACUCUAAGUUGACUGCCGGUGACAAACCGGAGGAAGGUGGGGAUGACGUCAAAUCAUCAUGCCCCUUAUGAUUUGGGCUACACACGUGCUACAAUGGACAAUACAAAGGGCAGCAAAACCGCGAGGUCAAGCAAAUCCCAUAAAGUUGUUCUCAGUUCGGAUUGUAGUCUGCAACUCGACUACAUGAAGCUGGAAUCGCUAGUAAUCGUAGAUCAGCAUGCUACGGUGAAUACGUUCCCGGG